RNAcentral lists this ribosomal RNA (766 nucleotides) under uncultured Enterobacteriaceae bacterium. RNAcentral describes it as "bacterial SSU rRNA". It matches the Rfam family "Bacterial small subunit ribosomal RNA", at positions 736 to 1502 of the family's 1533-position model. Lineage: Bacteria; Pseudomonadati; Pseudomonadota; Gammaproteobacteria; Enterobacterales; Enterobacteriaceae. The record is from RNAcentral.
GUUACUGACGCUGAGAUGCGAAAGCGUGGGGAGCAAACAGGAUUAGAUACCCUGGUAGUCCACGCUGUAAACGAUGUCGAUUUGGAGUUUGUUGCCUAGAGUGAUGGGCUCCGAAGCUAACGCGAUAAAUCGACCGCCUGGGGAGUACGGCCGCAAGGUUAAAACUCAAAUGAAUUGACGGGGGCCCGCACAAGCGGUGGAGCAUGUGGUUUAAUUCGAUGCAACGCGAAGAACCUUACCUGGUCUUGACAUCCAUAGAAUUCUGCAGAGAUGUGGGAGUGCCUUCGGGAACUAUGAGACAGGUGCUGCAUGGCUGUCGUCAGCUCGUGUUGUGAAAUGUUGGGUUAAGUCCCGCAACGAGCGCAACCCUUAUUCUUUGUUGCCAGCGAUUUGGUCGGGAACUCAAAGGAGACUGCCGUUGAUAAAGCGGAGGAAGGUGGGGACGACGUCAAGUCAUCAUGGCCCUUACGACCAGGGCUACACACGUGCUACAAUGGCGUAUACAAAGGGAAGCGAAGGUGCGAGCUGGAGCGGAUCUCAUAAAGUACGUCUAAGUUCGGAUUGGAGUCUGCAACUCGACUCCAUGAAGUCGGAAUCGCUAGUAAUCGUAGAUCAGAAUGCUACGGUGAAUACGUUCCCGGGCCUUGUACACACCGCCCGUCACACCAUGGGAGUGGGUUGCACCAGAAGUAGAUAGCUUAACCGCGAGGGGGGCGUUUACCACGGUGUGAUUCAUGACUGGGGUGAAGUCGUAACAAGGUAACCA